CCUUAACAUGCGCUACCAAUUAAAUGUUGUUAAAAAAAUUUAUUUUUAAUAUUUAGAAUAAUUUUGUUAUUUAAUAUGAAUUUUAAAUGUAAGCUACUUAUUCUCGAUCACGUUCACAUUUCGGUCGAAAAACCCAGAAAUAUCAAUAUUCACUCAGUUAUGGUCAUUUUAAUGUAUGCUAUUUUUCCUCUUUCAAAAAGUGAUCACAAAUUAUAGCUAAAAACUCCGAAAUGUCAAUAUUUAAGGAGUUAUGGCCAUUUUAAAGUAUGCUAUUUUUCCCCUUUAAAAAACUAAUCACAAAAUGUCAAUAUUUAAGGAGUUAUGGCCAUUUUAAAGUAUGCUAUUUUUCCUCUUUCAAAAAGUGAUCACAAAUUAUAGCUAAAAACCCCGAAAUGUCAAUAUUUAAGGAGUUAUGGCCAUUUUAAAGUAUGUAUUUUUCCUCUUUCAAAAAGUGAUCACAAAACAUAUCUUAAAAUCUCCCACUUAUUUAAAUAUAAUUAAUUUCUGUGUACGUCGAUGCGUCCUACUAAAAUAAUACUAUUCUCCUGAGUAUGUCCGGCUUCUACCGCAAUUCCGAUAAUGAUUUCGGUAAUAUAUGUCCCAACACGUUCCAUUCAUUAAAAUGCUUCAAAUUAAAAAUCAAAUUGGAUAUAUAAAACAAAGUUUCGCCAUCUGAAAUCAGAUCAGUAGACAAAUUAGUUUCAAUCAUGAAGUUUUUUCUAAGUGCUGUAGUUGCUUUGGCUAUAUUAUCUGGUACUGCAAUGGCAAAAAACUAUAAUCGCCUACCACCUCAUAAUUAAUUUUAAAUAUGCAAUGUUUUAAAUAAAAAUUGAUUAUAAAGUA
Molecule: long non-coding RNA, 843 nt
Organism: Musca domestica (house fly)
Lineage: Eukaryota; Metazoa; Arthropoda; Insecta; Diptera; Muscidae
Exons: 2
Source: RefSeq, a predicted model, not a curated record